Molecule: long non-coding RNA, 5340 nt
Filed under: Equus asinus (donkey)
Lineage: Eukaryota; Metazoa; Chordata; Mammalia; Perissodactyla; Equidae
Description: lncRNA (ENSEASG00005029257.1)
Source: RNAcentral
GUGGUCACCAUGGGGUCCGGUCAGAGGAGAUGGUGACCCAGCCAGAGUGGAGAAGAGGGCAGACUCAGGACCUAGGUAGGGACAGCGAGGCAGAGCAGGUGGCCCCAUGCUGUCCUCUGUCUACUUCUCACAGUCUACCCCCAACAAAGUCCCACCAGCAUCUCCCUCCACGGCACAUGGGGCUUUCUUUUUACUUUUCCCUUUAGGUUUUAUCUAAAAAAUUACAAGAAUCUAUAGAAAAGAUCAAAGAUUAGUACCAUGAAAACCCACAUAGCUUUCAUCUGGGUUCACCACUGUUGGGUUUGUUUUGUUUUGUUUUUUACCAUUUUUCCCCAUUUGCGUUCUCUCUCCCUCUCUAGAGUGAGCUGGAUAUAUUUAGAUAGAUUUCAAAGGAAACCAUUGGGAAGUAGGUGGCAGAUAUCUGGACACUCACCCCUCUCAAUGCUGUCCUGAGAAGGAGGACCUCCCCUGUGUGACUGCUGUCCUGUUGUCACACUUAAGAAAUUUAACAUUGGCAGAUAAACCUACUAUUUAAAUUUCCCCAGCUGUACCAAUAAGAGUCCUAAAUCAAUUUAUUUUCUGAUCCAGGAUGCACUCAAGCAUCUUGAGUUGUAUGUACUGUCAUGUCUUUGAGUCUCCUAAGCAGACCUGUCCCAUCCUUCUGCCCCCUCAUGUCACCUCAUCAUGCUUAUACAUGUAUGCACAAAGCCACCAGGCCUGGAGGUGAUGCCCUGUGACACUGCCUGCUGGGCCGUGCCUGGCCUGGCUUCGCUGGCCUCCCCAGUCCUUUGCAGCCUGUGGGGCUGGACCUGCCCACACCCUACUCCCCUCCCCUCUGCACUCUCUCUGCCCAGAACUCCUUCCUGAGCCCUGGGAAUCCAGCCUGAGGGUCUACCGGCAGGAAGUCUUCCCUUGUUCCCAUUCCGGUUCCCAGGGGAGAGUGAGUCCUCUCUCUAGACCCCACAGCCCCGGGUCUUCCCCCACCUCCCCCACCUCAGUGCCGGUGUCUGUUUAGGCACUCUUCUGCCCCUGUCCCCUCAGCAGGCAGGGAACUUCUGAGAGGCAGCUCCCAGCUUGCUUGUCCCCUGUGUCCUCGGCAAUGACACAAGACUGAGACCCAGGACUCAGGCUAGGGGGAUGGAGUUAAUAGAUGAGUAAGAUGGAGGCCUGUGAGGACUGGGCAGAGCAGGCCACUAGACUCCUGCCCCCAGGACAGACAUUCACAGGUGGGAGGCCUGAGGCGUGAAGGCCCAGAGCCUGCUCAAGUUCUAGGAAGCCACUUCAACAUCCUUGUCACUGGACAGAGAAGUUUGGGUUCAUCCCCACAACCAUCACGCUGGGCACCGGAGCGGCUCAGCUGGGUGUGGGAUGGAGAAGCCCAUUUCUACUGGAGGACCUAGUAUGAAGAGGAGGGCUGCCGGCCUGCCCAGACCCUGGGCUACACUUUGGAGGAUGGUGGCUGGAGCCCCAACCUGCUGUCCUCAUCUGCAGCAAAGGCCCCAAAGGGGACUGCCGACCCUGAGCAGACAGAACUGCCUUCCCCACCCCCACAUCCGGCUGCCCAGGAUGCUGGAGUGUUUUCAGGUGAAGAAAAAAGCAUGAGAGGGGCUGGCCCGGUGGGGCAGCGGUUAAGUGUGCAGUUGUGCUUUGACGGCCCAGGGUUUGCUGGUUCGGAUCCCGGGUGCCAACAUGGAACUGCUUGGCAUGCCAUGCUGUGGGUCUUUGCUUCUUCCCUGGAGCCAGAGGCUGAGCUACUGUCCUGGUGUCACCUAGGGAGAUGAGACUCGCCACAUACUGCCCACCUCCAGAACAGCGAGGGCAGAGGCCAAAGCCCUCCUGGGGACGCCCUGACUCCUGAGCUUCACACGGCUAAGUCCACAAAUGGUUAUAGAAGGGAAAGGCCUUGAGAGCCAUCGCACUGCGGGGCCUCCAGCUGAGGGAAGGAGGGAGGGCCCAGUACCAGGCGACUCAUGACUCUGACACCGUGCCUUUCUCAUUUCAGGUUCUUCUGGAUGGUUCCAGAGCUGUAGGAAAAUCUCCCCUAGAAGCUCAAAGGUGACUGGGCUCAGGCUCAGAGGUGGCCUUCUAGGUGCAAGGGAGGGACUGUGUGGCCACCCCACUGACUUGCCCAGGGACAUGGUCAGCCUGCGAUCAGAGCUGGUGCAGCUUGCCUGCUCGGUCAGCAGCGUGAUGGCCAUGGUGUAGAGGCGGUAGCCCAGCAUGAGAAGGAGGGUGCAGGGCAGGGGCCUGAUGCAGGACAGAGGCCACAAAGAAGGCCAGCAGGAGUGACAGCAGUGUCUGAUAGCUGCCCAGGAAGCAUAGGCUGAGCCUGGGGUGCCAGCCAUAACCAGCCGUGUGCCCCCACCACACAUGGUGCAGCAGGUGCCUGUCUGGCAGCCUGGGCUCCGUGAGGUGGUAGUGACAGAAGCUGCUGAAGAAGUCAGCCCAGGAAUACAGGGCAGCCAUCUGGCCUGCAAACUAGAGCACCGACAGAGACAUGGGAGAGUGGGCAUGGGUGGGGUCUGCACUUUCCACCUGGCCUCUCCCAUAGGCUGGCAGGACAGGAAGCCAGCAUGGAGACGAGGGUGCGGCUCUCCCGCCCACACUCAUCCUGUGGUUGAUGGCGGAAGACAGCCGGAUCAGGCCAGCAAUCUCAUAGCUCUGGAUGGGCUACAGCUCUGCACUGCCCUGGUACUUGAUGUCAAACUUGCGCAGCCUGUUGAUGAUCUAGAAGCAGCAGGAGAGGUGAACGCCAGGUGAAACAUGGGUCAUGGGCGCAAUCCAGAAAAUACACCUUUGCUAAUGACUCAGAGGAGAUGUGUCUGUUACAGGGGUGAUGGGGGAGACGAGGACAGGCUGGCAGGACCAACGGCCAUGCUGCCUGGAAAGCCAGACAUCUCCGGGAUGUAGACCUUACCUGGUACUGGCCCAGGGGUGUGAGGAUGAGUCCGUCCUCACUGGCAGUGCAGUCUGGGAGCUGCUUUUUCCCAUUCUCCCCAAGGCAAGUGUGAGCCUCUGCCACUGCAAGACCAAGCCACACGCACAGGGGCUGAGAAAGGCUCCCCAGACCCCAGGGGAGAAGCUCCCCUGACCCCCGACUACCCAUGCGCUGGCCAGGAACAGGCAGCAAGUCUGCUCUGGAAACAGGAGGGCAGUGCAGGGGCUGUGCAACAUGAGAGGCCAAGUGCAGGAAGGUGUCAGACCCCACCUACCACAAAAACGGCUGCCUGCUGACGCACUGGAGGAAAUGGAGGGCAGUGUGAGCCCCAGAGUGGGCUGGGUCUGCUGGGGGCCACCUCAGCAGGAAAGCAGGAGGCACUGUAAUGGUAGAGGGGACAGACCCAGAUGUGACUCCCAGAGGCAUCGUGGCUCUCCCCGCCCCGGAGCACAAGCACCACAACCUCAUCUGCUCCUGUGGCCAGGGAGGGGGCUCUGGAAGUAGCACAGGGAGGACCCCAGAAAGGACAGGCCUCCAGCCCUCAGGGUCCAAGUCCGGCACAGAACAAAACCCACCUGCUGUUCAGCAACUGAGUGAGGGGUGAAGCUGGGUUUCUGCUUCCCACCAUCCAGCCCUUGGACACUAGCUGCGAUCGAGGACAAGGAGCAGCCGGUUGACCAGGCACACCAGGGCCAGAGCAGGAGAGGGGAAGACAGCUUGCGGCAACAUCCUUGGUGUGAGGGGACGGCAUUUUUGGGUACACGUCUAAGGAAUAAUGAUGAAGGCACAGUUCAACAAAAACCUGCAAAGAGCAUUAGCUGGUCAAAUGAUUUUUGACAAGGGUGUCAACACCAUUCAAUGGGGAAAGGACGGUCUUUACAACAAAUGCUGCCAGGAAACCAGGAUGUCCACAUGCAAAUUAAUGAAGCCGGACCCUUACUCAAAAAAAAAAACUCAAAGUGGACCAAAGACUUAAAUGUAAGAGCUGAAACUAUAAAACUCUUACAAGAAAGCAUGAGGAGAGAGCUUCAUGACACUGAAUUUGGCAAUGAUCUCUUAGAUAUGACUCCAAAACACAUGCAACAAAGGAAAAAAAACAGACAAAUUGGACUUCAGGAAAAUUAAAAACUUUGUGCAUCAAAAGACACUAUCAACAGAAUAAAAAGGCAACCCACAGAAUGGAGGAAAAUAUUUGCAAAUUAUGUGUCUUAUAAGGGAUUAAUAUCCAGAAUAUGUAGAGAACUCCUAAAACUAGGCGAUAAAAAAAACAACAACCCAAUUCAAAAAUGGGCAAAGGAUUUGAAUAGACAUUUCUCCAAAGAAGACAAACAAACAGCCAAUAAGGACCUGAGAAGAUGUUCAAUACUAGUAAUCAUUACAACAAUGCUAACCGAAAUCAAAAUGAGAUACCAACUCACAUCCAUGAGGAUGGCUGUAAUCAGAAAACAGAAAAUAAAGAGCAUUGGUGAGGCUAUAGAGAAACUGAACCCUUGUGCAUUAAUGGAAAGAAUGUAAAAUGGUGCAGUCACUGUGGAAAGCAGUAUCACAGUUCCUGAAAAAAUUAAACAGAAUUACCAGAUGGUCCAGUAAUUCCACUUCUGGGUAUAUACCUCGCAGAAAUUGAAAGUAGCAUCUGGAAGAGAUAUUUGCGCAUCCAUGUUCAUAGCAGCAUUAUUUUCAAUAGUCAAGAGGUGGAAGCAACCCAAGUGUCCAUCGACAGAUGAAUGGAUAAACAAAAUGUGGUAUAUCCAUACAAUGGAAUAUUAUUUGGCCUUAAAAAGGAAAGAAAUUUUGACUCAUGCUACAGUGUAGAUGAACCUUGAAGACACUAUGCUAAGUGAAAUAAGUCAGUCAUAAAAAGACAAAUACUGUGUAAUUCCACUCAUCUAGGCUCCUAGCAUAGUCAGAUUCACAGAGACAGAAAGUAGAACGGUGGUUGCCAGGGGUUGGGAGGAGGGGGAAAUGAGGAAUUGCUGUUUAAUGGGUAGAGUUUCAGAUUUACAAGAUAAAAACGUUCUGGAGAUCCAUUACAACGUGAAUAUACUCAAUACUACUGAACCGUAUACUUUAAAAUGGUUAAGAUGUAAAUUUUAUGUUAUGUGUAUUUUACCAUAAUUCCAAAAGAUUUUUAAUUAAAAAAAAAGGGGCAGCCCUGUGGGGCGUGGUCUGCUUUGGUGGCUAGGGGUUCACUGGUUUAGAUCCUGGGUGCAGACUGCUUAUUAAGCCAUGCUGUGGCAGCAUCCCUUGCAGAAGAACUAGAAUGACUUACAAUUAUGUACUGGGGCUUUGGGGAGGAAAAAAAAGAGGACUGGCAACAGAUGUUAGCUCAGGGCCAAUCUUCCUCACCAAAGAAAAAAAAGAGCAUUAGCGUUUCAGUCCAGGAAACAACCCUCCAGUUCCUC